GGUGAUGUAGCUCAAUGGUAGAGUACUUGCCUAAUAUGUCUGAGAAUCUGGGUUCCAGCUCCAGCAUUGCAG
This 72-nucleotide transfer RNA is filed under the name Cavia porcellus (domestic guinea pig). It matches the Rfam family "tRNA". Rfam says of the family: Transfer RNA (tRNA) molecules are approximately 80 nucleotides in length. Their secondary structure includes four short double-helical elements and three loops (D, anti-codon, and T loops). Further hydrogen bonds mediate the characteristic L-shaped molecular structure. tRNAs have two regions of fundamental functional importance: the anti-codon, which is responsible for specific mRNA codon recognition, and the 3' end, to which the tRNAs corresponding amino acid is attached (by aminoacyl-tRNA synthetases). tRNAs cope with the degeneracy of the genetic code in two manners: having more than one tRNA (with a specific anti-codon) for a particular amino acid; and 'wobble' base-pairing, i.e. permitting non-standard base-pairing at the 3rd anti-codon position. Lineage: Eukaryota; Metazoa; Chordata; Mammalia; Rodentia; Caviidae. The record is from Rfam by way of RNAcentral.